This 470-nucleotide ribosomal RNA is filed under the name uncultured bacterium. RNAcentral describes it as "partial 16S ribosomal RNA". It matches the Rfam family "Bacterial small subunit ribosomal RNA", at positions 29 to 506 of the family's 1533-position model. The record is from RNAcentral.
ACGAACGCUGGCGGCGUGCUUAACACAUGCAAGUCGAACGAUGAACCCGGAGCUUGCUCUGGGGGAUUAGUGGCGAACGGGUGAGUAACACGUGAGUAACCUGCCCUGGACUCUGGGAUAAGCGUUGGAAACGACGUCUAAUACCGGAUAGGACCUUGGAUCGCAUGAUCUGGGGUGGAAAGUUUUUUCGGUCUGGGAUGGACUCGCGGCCUAUCAGCUUGUUGGUGAGGUAAUGGCUCACCAAGGCGUCGACGGGUAGCCGGCCUGAGAGGGUGACCGGCCACACUGGGACUGAGACACGGCCCAGACUCCUACGGGAGGCAGCAGUGGGGAAUAUUGCACAAUGGGCGAAAGCCUGAUGCAGCAACGCCGCGUGCGGGAUGACGGCCUUCGGGUUGUAAACCGCUUUUAGUAGGGAAGAAGGGCUUCGGCUUGACGGUACCUGCAGAAAAAGGACCGGCUAACUACGU